This 396-nucleotide ribosomal RNA is filed under the name uncultured bacterium. Its description in RNAcentral is "partial 16S ribosomal RNA". It matches the Rfam family "Bacterial small subunit ribosomal RNA", at positions 523 to 918 of the family's 1533-position model. The record is from RNAcentral.
AUACGUAGGUGGCAAGCGUCGUCCGGAAUUAUUGGGCGUAAAGCGCAUGUAGGCGGUUUGGUAAGCCGGUCGUGAAAAUGCGGUGCUUCACGCCGGAUGGCGAUCGAAACCGUUGAACUUGCGUGCAGGCGAGGCAAGGGGAACUCCCAGUGUAGCGGUGAAAAGCGUAGGUAUUGGGAAAAACACCGGUGGCGAAGGCGCCUUUCUGGACUGUGUCUGACGCUCAGAUGCGAAAGCCAGGGUAGCGAACGGGAUUAGAUACCCCGGUAGUCCUGGCCGUAAACGAUGGGUACUAGGUGUGGGAGGUAUCGACUCCUUCCGUGCCGGAGUUAACGCAAUAAGUACCCCGCCUGGGGAGUACGGCCGCAAGGCUUAAACUCAAAUGAAUUGACGGGG